AUGGGGAGGCCGCCGUGCUGCGACAAGGAGGGCGUCAAGAAGGGCCCCUGGACGCCGGAGGAGGACCUCGUGCUCGUCUCCUACGUCCAGGAGCACGGCCCCGGCAACUGGCGCGCCGUCCCCACCAGGACCGGUCUGAUGCGGUGUAGCAAGAGCUGCCGGCUCCGGUGGACCAACUACCUGCGCCCCGGGAUCAAGCGCGGCAACUUCACCGACCAGGAGGAGAAGCUCAUCGUCCACCUCCAGGCGCUGCUCGGCAACAGGUGGGCCGCGAUCGCCUCCUACCUCCCCGAGCGCACCGACAACGACAUCAAGAACUACUGGAACACGCACCUCAAGCGCAAGCUGCAGGCGGGGGGCGACGCCGCGGCCAAGCCGGCGGCGCAGAGGCCCGCCUCCUCCUCCAAGGGCCAGUGGGAGAGGCGGCUGCAGACGGACAUCAACAUGGCGCGCCGCGCGCUGCGCGAGGCGCUCACCACGCUCGACGACAUCAAGCCGCAGCAGCCCGACGUGGCCGACGGCGUCAAUGGGGCUGCCGCAGCCGGCGCCGACAGCGGCAGCCCGGCGGCCUCGAGCUCGUCGGCCGCGUCGCUGUCCCAGUGCUCGCCCUCCGCGGCCGGGCCGUACGUCCUCACCACCGCGAACAUCUCGCGGAUGCUCGACGGGUGGGCCAGCAAGGGCCGCAGCGCCGGCGCCGCGGCGGACAGCCCCUCCGGCUCGUCGGCCUCCGAGGUUUCCCACGGCAGCGGCGCGGCCGCCCGUGCGCUGGGGUCCGCGUUCGAGUACGACCGGAAGCCGGCCGUUCUGGCGCCGGAUCAGACGCAGCUGAACGCGAUCGAGACGUGGCUCUUCGCCGACGACAACAACAACAACGACCACCAUGGCCACGCAGCCGGCGGCAGCGGCUUGCUCGGCGUCCCCGCCAUGGGUUACCCUUUCUAG
Molecule: ribosomal RNA, 942 nt
Filed under: Triticum aestivum (bread wheat)
Lineage: Eukaryota; Viridiplantae; Streptophyta; Magnoliopsida; Poales; Poaceae
Description: partial small subunit ribosomal RNA
Source: RNAcentral